Molecule: long non-coding RNA, 463 nt
Organism: Acanthopagrus latus (yellowfin seabream)
Lineage: Eukaryota; Metazoa; Chordata; Actinopteri; Spariformes; Sparidae
Exons: 2
Source: RefSeq, a predicted model, not a curated record
UCCGCUGCCUCGGCCCGCGAAAGUGACGAUCUACGCCAGGCGAUGUCGCCAUUUUCUCUCUUCCUUUCUUCUUUUUCGGGCGUGCAAAGAAUCUUGGGAUAUGUGAGGCCACGAAGGAUCGUAGCGGUGCAUCCUCCAAAAACAGGGAAAAGAAGGAGCACUUGUGGGCAUCUGGAGGAGCCUUUGGAUUGGGACAGCCCUAACGAGCCGCCCGACCUGCAGCUCGGGUUUGCAAACACUCGCCAUCUUCAACUUCCUCUGCAGCAGUCGUCCUCUCGUGGUCGCCCCCUGCUGGUAGCAAACGUCACACUCACGCUGCCGUCUACAGGACCUGUGGGAUUUAGUCUCGUCAGACGUGUUGUUCGAGCGUUGCUGGAGGGAGACUAAUGAAGAAUUUUAUUGCCGGUGACUGCUUCACUGCAGCGACUGUUCAUCUGACAAUAAAGAGCUUGAAACCUCUUCA